UAUUUAUUAAGUAAAAAUUAGAAUUUAGGUGAAGAUACCUAAGUAACUUUGAAAGACAAGAAGACCCUAUAGAGUUUUAAAUUUAUAAAAUAAUUAUAUAAAUUUUUAGUUGGGGCGACUAAAGAUUAUUAUAAACAUCUUUUACUAGUGAGAUAUUGAUUCUUAAUAAUUGAUCCUAUAUUAUAGAUAAAUAGAAUAAACUACCUUAGGGAUAACAGGCUUAUCUUUCUAAAGAGUUCAAAUUGACAGGAAGGUUUGGCACCUCGAUGUUGGCUUAGAGUAACCAGUUAAUGCAGCAGUUAAUUAUGGUCAGUUUGUUCAACUGUUAAAUCUCU
This 335-nucleotide ribosomal RNA is filed under the name Bathypolaria sp. 608 PB. RNAcentral's name for it is "partial 16S ribosomal RNA". It matches the Rfam family "Bacterial large subunit ribosomal RNA", at positions 2046 to 2597 of the family's 2925-position model. The record is from RNAcentral. Lineage: Eukaryota; Metazoa; Annelida; Polychaeta; Phyllodocida; Polynoidae.